RNAcentral lists this long non-coding RNA (2959 nucleotides) under Salmo salar (Atlantic salmon). Its description in RNAcentral is "lncRNA (ENSSSAG00000118438.1)". The record is from RNAcentral. Lineage: Eukaryota; Metazoa; Chordata; Actinopteri; Salmoniformes; Salmonidae.
UUAUUUUUGUGUGAUUUUGUUGUCAGCACAUUCAACUAUGUAAAGAAAAAAGUCUUUAAUAAGAUGAUAUCAUUCAUUCAGAUCUAGGAUGUGUUGUUUAAGUGUUCCCUCUAUUUUUUUGAGCAGUAUAUAUAUAAAGACAAUAUUAAAUCAAGAACAGUCUGAUGGGUGACAAUAUUAGCCUAUCACUUGUGAACAAUAUAUUAUCAAUUGUGAAUAAUAUAUUAUCAAUUGUGAAUGAUAUAUUAUCAAUUGUGAAUGAUGCCCAGCUUGUGUGCAGUAAGGCAAGAAACAGCGCAUGCCUUUUUAUUUGCGACUUUUUAAAAUCAUAGUCGCACACCUCAUGUAGCCUAGCCCAUAGGUUGAUAUGUUUUGAUAAGGUUAGUAUCACACCUCAUGUAGCCUAGCCCAUAGGUUGAUAUGUUUUGAUAAGGUUAGUAUCACACCUCAUGUAGCCUAGCCCAUAGGUUGAUAUGUUUUGAUAAGGUUAGUAUCACAACGGUGUAGAGUCUAAAUGGCAUACAUACACAGUGUGUGAGUUUCAAGUUUGGGGAAGAUCAUUUUCACCUUAAAAAUUCACCUUAAUAAUAAAAAGCAUUACAUGCAUAAUUACAAUUGCGAUCACUUUUGAGAAUGGUGUUUUCCUGCCAAUUGAUUGCAUUUUGGAACGUUUGCGCUUAUAACCUAUUGCCGUGUGCGCAUUGCCUCGUUUAUAAUGUGAAGAAAUAGCCUAAUAGUUUAUCAACAUUUUAAGCUAAAUGUUCUGAUCUGUUGCGUCAACCUCAUGGCUUAAAACAGUUUUGUUGUUGCUCGUGGUUGUAUUAAUUAGGGAUCUAACACAUCCCACAACUUGUCCCAGGCUAUGUUUAGAAUAUGUAUUUCUCACACAGAAUAGAAUAGGUCAACAGUUUUACCAUGGGGAUAGUAGAUUGACAUAGGCAGCCUAAUAACAAAACAGAGCUCAUGCCUUUCAUCAAAUCAUCGUUUAAAGUCCCAUCACGCGACCUUAGAAUGUAUUAAAAAGAUUGAAACAUACAGCCCAACAUCUGUAUCACAACUAAAGUUGCAUAAAUAACUCUAAAUAAAGCAUAUAGGAGAAUCCCUCAAAUCCUUUGGAGAAAUGAUCCUUUCUAUUUUAUUCAGCUGUGUUCAAUUCUGUUCUUCAUACUAUAAAACAAUUUAAAAUACCACCACGGAAUUGUAGGCUAAAAUGUGUCUGCUAAAUGAACUAGUGUAGUCCAUAGCCAGAUCAGGGCCUAACAUGAUAACUCAGAGUAUGCUAUUCUGUUCUUCUGAAAUAAACUACGUUUUCUUCAUAUCAUGUUUCUUUAGACCUGUUUAAAAUAAAUCAUGGAUUUAUUGUGAAGGUAUAGACUAUAUUACAUGGAUUUAUUGUGAAGGUGUAGACUAUAUUACAUGGAUUUAUUGUGAUGGUGUAGGUAGACUAUAUUACAUGGAUUUAUUGUGAUGGUAUAGACUAUAUUACAUGGAUUUAUUGUGAUGGUGUAGACUAUAUUACAUGGAUUUAUUGUGAUGGUGUAGACUAUAUUACAUGGAUUUAUUGUGAAGGUGUAGACUAUAUUACAUGUAUUUAUUGUGAUGGUGUAGACUAUAUUACAUGGAUGUAUUGUGAUGGUGUAGACUAUAUUACAUGGAUUUAUAGUGAUGGUGUAGACUAUAUUACAUGGAUUUAUUGUGAUGGUGUAGACUAUAUUACAUGGAUUUAUUGUGAUGGUGUAGACUAUAUUACAUGGAUUUAUUGUGAUGGUGUAGACUAUAUUACAUGGAUUUAUUGUGAUGGUGUAGGUAGACUAUAUUACAUGGAUUUAUUGUGAUGGUGUAGACUAUAUUACAUGGAUUUAUUAGAUUUUUUAAAAUGUAGAUGUUCUGAAGGUCUGCAUCAGUGGUUUGUAGGCUACGUGUGGAAGCCAGGAGAAGCUAAAUGUGUUUAUGUUCAUUAACGGUCGAUUACUGUGAGAACGGUGGUUAUUUGCUUGACAUCACCGGCAGACUAAACGUCAUGGCCGCCACAGCCCCGCUCCAGGAAUUUGCUAAAUUCAAUUCACCUUGUCUCCCAUGUACAGUACAUGUUCAGAAGACAAGGGGUAGAUGAAACGUAAUGGAUUCUAAUCCAGAUGGCCUUAACUGGGUUCAAACUCUAUUGUUGCCCCGUGUUUCUGGAUGACACCAGUUAAACACAGCACAUUUCAUUCAACCACUUUGUCUUUAGAGAGAGACGGAGCAGGGGGGGGAUGUUGGGGUGACAAUGGGCUGUCCGACACUCACAACGGAGAGCGUGUCAGCCAGGAUAUCUUUCUGCCUGAGCUCCUUUCUGAGUUUAACUGCAUUGGAUUUUUGUUUGGCGGCGGAGUGUAUAUCAAGCCACCCCCCUUUGUGCGGCCACCGGUAAUGGUAAUGAAAGCAUGGCUAAAAUAUCUAAGUGGUCGUACUUCGUUAAGGAAGCGGCGGGAGCGGUGGUGGGAGCGGUGAAGGGGAGGGGCUGUAGGAGGCUGUAGGAUCGUGCUUGGGGUGAGAAUCAGUCUGCAUAAGGUAAGCGCAGAGAGGGAGAGAGGGAGAGGGGAUAGAAAGAGAGAGGGAGGGAGAGAGAGGGGAGAGGGAAGGAGAGAGGGAGAUAGAGAGAAUGGGCCUGCUGCAGAGAGGGAGAGAGAGAGGGGGGAUAGAAAGAGAGAGGGAGGGAGAGAGAGAGGGAGAGGGAAGGAGAGAGGGAGAUAGAGAGAAUGGGCCUGCUGCAGUUUGGCAGCCAGUUGUAAUGCAUCUCUAUGACAUCAUUCUCUGACAAAGUGUGAGGACGUCAUCAAAUUAAAGGCAUUUGUUUUAUGUAGAGUUACAGAUGUCUGAUGCUAUAUUGAAAUUCCAGUACUCCUUCACCUCCACAUUCACUGGUUCUAGCUAAAUUGGAAAAAAAAUGAUAUCACUGUCUGUCUGUCUUGUCUUGUCU